CUAGUGUAGGCACGACUUCAGCUUUUCGAGAUCAUCGCUGUCAAAUUUGGGAGGCCUGAAGACAUGUUUCCUAUAGUUUAGAUGACAGUCCCUUCAUUGUUCAAAAUGCAUUAUUUUUUGCCUGCAAGUUUCCUCAUGGAAUCACCAACGUAACAUGCUCUUUACCUUGGUGUUUGGUGGCCUAAAAGUUCAUUAGAUGACAAUCGGUACAUCUCCCAGACUUGAUUCUAUGUGUCUUGAUCGUGAACCUAGUUGUUGUGAUCUCAUGAACUUAUUUUGUUGUAACUUCGUUGAUUGUGGUGUACUUUCUUGGAAUAAUAAUGACAUGUCAUUUGUUCUAUGAUGAAA
Long non-coding RNA from Panicum virgatum (switchgrass), 348 nucleotides. RefSeq lists it as uncharacterized. The transcript is spliced from 2 exons. NCBI's taxonomy places the organism in Eukaryota, Viridiplantae, Streptophyta, Magnoliopsida, Poales, Poaceae. The record is from RefSeq and is a predicted model, not a curated record.